Molecule: RNase P RNA, 389 nt
Filed under: Paracoccus jeotgali
Lineage: Bacteria; Pseudomonadati; Pseudomonadota; Alphaproteobacteria; Rhodobacterales; Paracoccaceae
Description: Bacterial RNase P class A
Rfam family: Bacterial RNase P class A
About the family: Ribonuclease P (RNase P) is a ubiquitous endoribonuclease, found in archaea, bacteria and eukarya as well as chloroplasts and mitochondria.
Source: Rfam by way of RNAcentral
GCGGAUGGCCGGAUGACCGCGGGGGGUCACACCUUCGAGGAAAGUCCGGACUCCAUAAGGUAACGGUGCCGGGUAACGCCCGGCGGGGGAAACCCCAGGGAAAGCGCCACAGAGAACAGACCGCCUGCCUUCGGGCCGGCAAGGGUGAAACGGUGGGGUAAGAGCCCACCGGGGGGCUGGCAACAGACCCCGCAUGGCAAGCCCCACCGGGAGCAAUGCCGAAUAGGGAUCGCGCGUCGCAAGACAGGGCCACCUUGCCCCAGCAGAUCCGGGUUGGCAGCUUGACACCCGCAGCGAUGCGGCGUGCAGAUGAAUGGUCAUCCAUGGGGGAUGCGGCCUCGCGGCGGUGUUUCCCGGGACAGAAUCCGGCUUACAGGCCGUCCGCGUGU